This 872-nucleotide long non-coding RNA is filed under the name Oryctolagus cuniculus (rabbit). RNAcentral's name for it is "lncRNA (ENSOCUG00000039567.1)". Lineage: Eukaryota; Metazoa; Chordata; Mammalia; Lagomorpha; Leporidae. The record is from RNAcentral.
AACUUCUGCACUAGUAAUAAGUGGUCAGUCCCUCCUUUAAACGUAGUCUGGAUAUUUGGUAAGCACAGGAACGGAUAAUCCCGUUCCAAGGGGCGGCGGCUCGGCUCCCGCCCGCAUCCGCGAGCGGGGCUCGGGGCGCGGGGGACGCGGGCUGCACCCGGGCGGCGGGGGCGCUGCGCCACCUCGAGGCCGGACCCUGCCGCCCGGGUCCUGGGUCCUGGUGCUGUCCCCCGGAGCGGACAGCGAGGCCGAGGCCCGCGGGAAGGCAGCCGGGCGCGCAGGGGCCGGGCGGCCGGCCUGCAGGCUGGCAGGGACGCGCUGGGGACCUGCGUGGGGAGCUAAGGGCCCAGGUGUUCAUAGGCCCCUUUACGUAAAGCAGUGUAAUUACACUGACCUUUGUCUAGAAGGUGGUGGCAUUGAUGAGGUCCCAGAUCGAUCCUCAUCCAGCCCAGUUUCCUUCAUUUGCUACUGCUGCCUCCUUCAGCUGCCUGAGCUGACGCACGUGUCUGGUCUUCAAGGGCUAUGGUUCGAAAACUCUGGUGAAUCCAUGAAAGGUCGUCAUCUCCCAAAGCAUAGUCAUCAUUUUUCUGGGCAAAUUAUCAAGACCAGCCUGUGUAUUUCAGCACCAGCCAGGAGCUGGAGGUAGGAGGUGAGUGGCUUGUACAUCAUCCCCAAAUUGACAUUUUCCACAGAUGAGCUCCAGUUAGCUGGUUAAAUUCUGCCAAGUUAUCAUUCUCACUUUUAAUGACUUCUUUAAUAAGACUUCUAAAGGGACCACCACGUAGAUGCUUCAAAAUGUGUUGCACAAUGCAAUGGGAAAGCCUUCUGCACCCUGAUAUGGAGAGAUCUGUAGAAUAGUUUAAGUGAGAAAG